This 253-nucleotide ribosomal RNA is filed under the name uncultured bacterium. RNAcentral describes it as "partial 16S ribosomal RNA". It matches the Rfam family "Bacterial small subunit ribosomal RNA", at positions 524 to 776 of the family's 1533-position model. The record is from RNAcentral.
GACAGAGGGGGCAAGCGUUGCUCGGAAUCACUGGGCGUAAAGGGCGCGUAGGCGGGAUGGCAAGUCGGUCGUGAAAUCCCCAGGCUUAACCUGGGAACUGCAUCCGAUACUGGAUGGCUUGAAUCCGGGAGAGGGAUGCGGAAUUCCAGGUGUAGCGGUGAAAUGCGUAGAUAUCUGGAGGAACACCGGUGGCGAAGGCGGCAUCCUGGACCGGCAUUGACGCCGAGGAGCGAAAGCCAGGGGAGCAAACGGG